Molecule: long non-coding RNA, 775 nt
Organism: Mesocricetus auratus (golden hamster)
Lineage: Eukaryota; Metazoa; Chordata; Mammalia; Rodentia; Cricetidae
Exons: 2
Source: RefSeq, a predicted model, not a curated record
GUUUUCUUGGUGUUCAUUUUUGAGUUCUUAUGUAUUUUUGAGAUUAGCCAUCUAUCGGAGUUGUAAAAUCUUGUUUGUGAACAUCUUUUCCCAUUCUGUAGGCUGCCACUUUGUCCCAAUGAUGGUAUCCUUUUCAGUGUAGAAGCUUUUCCAUUUCAUGAGGUCCCAUGUAUUAAUUGUUGAUCUCAGUGACUUGCUGUAGGUGCUGUGUUCAGAAAGUCUCCUGUGCCAAUGAGUUCACGGUCAUUCCCCACUUUCCCUCCUAUCAGGUUCAGUGUAUCCAGUUAUACAGUGAGGUUCUGCUCAACUGGAGUUGCGUUUUGUGCAGGGUGGCUCCUCCUUCGGACCUUCGCAGUGUGGACACUUGCUUCUUCGCUGGAUUAUCAUCCCCUGGGAUCAGCAUCUUUGCCCCAACCACUCUGGGGUUUCUGUAUCUAGUAACGGCCUCUCGGAAUCCUUGAUGGAGAAGAGGCAGUUCAUCGUUGGUGUGUCUGGAAUGAAACACCUGACCGUAUCUUCAAGCUUGUCCUUACUUCUUCCAGCUCAGCCAACAGGAAGCUCUGGUUUUGCAGUUACUCAGCGUCAAUUUGCCAUCGUGUUACCCUUUGACCUACAUGAGUGCACCAGCAGGUUUUUAGCAGCCAGCAAGAGUUUGUAGCUAGCAGCAACCACUUCGUAGCAUUACAAUUGUCCUUACCGUAGCCCGAGCUACCAACAUCUUCAAUCUGGAUUAUCAAACUAAUGUCCUAAUUAGCAUCUUGGUUGUGACUCUCUC